CUCGCACUGCUGAACGGGAACCCUGGAAUUUGGCUUCUAGAGAUUUCUGGAACUAAACUCUUGCAUUGCGGAGUUUGUGUACACCCUAGCGGUCACACAAAAGUCACUUGUUUGAAGAUUUGAGAGAUAUAGUGAAAAGAAAAACAAAGCAAGAAAAACGCAACCUCAAACGAUUAUGAGCAGCUUCUAGAGAAUUCUGGAACUAAACUCUCGCGUUGUGGAGUUUGUGUACACCCUAGCGGUCACACAAAAGUCACUUGUUUGAAGAUUUGAGAGAUAUAGUGAAAAGAAAAACAAAGCAAGAAAAACGUAACCUCAAACGAUUAUGAGCAAUCAACAGCAAGGUGCAGGGGGCGGCCAGCCACCACCAAACAGUUCUCAUCAACAGCAAGGUACAGGGGGCAGCCAGCCACCACCAAACAGUUCUCAGCAAGGUGGACAGGGACAAGGAAACUCCUUCACAGGAGACCGUAUUCGUAAG
This is a long non-coding RNA of Pecten maximus, 481 nucleotides long. RefSeq lists it as uncharacterized. The record is from RefSeq and is a predicted model, not a curated record. NCBI's taxonomy places the organism in Eukaryota, Metazoa, Mollusca, Bivalvia, Pectinida, Pectinidae. The transcript is spliced from 6 exons.